This is a non-coding RNA of Nostoc sp. PCC 7107, 37 nucleotides long. The record is from Rfam. Lineage: Bacteria; Bacillati; Cyanobacteriota; Cyanophyceae; Nostocales; Nostocaceae.
GUUGCAAUUUCUAUUAAUCCCUAUCAGGGAUUGAAAC